CUCAGUUCGGAUCGGAGUCUGCAACCCGACUCCGUGAAGCUGGAUUCGCUAGUAAUCGCGCAUCAGCCAUGGCGCGGUGAAUACGUUCCCGGGCCUUGUACACACCGCCCGUCAAGCCAUGGGAGCCGGGAGUGCCUGAAGGCCGUGACCGCAAGGAGCGGCCUAAGGUAAAACUGGUGACUGGGGCUAAGUCGUAACAAGGUAAC
This 206-nucleotide ribosomal RNA is filed under the name uncultured bacterium. RNAcentral describes it as "partial 16S ribosomal RNA". It matches the Rfam family "Bacterial small subunit ribosomal RNA", at positions 1287 to 1500 of the family's 1533-position model. The record is from RNAcentral.